This 783-nucleotide non-coding RNA is filed under the name Paroster macrosturtensis. Lineage: Eukaryota; Metazoa; Arthropoda; Insecta; Coleoptera; Dytiscidae. The record is from RNAcentral.
AUAAAGUUUAAUUUUGGCUUAGAGGCUUAUUUAAUUUUUUAUUUACAUGCAAAUUUUAGUGGGAAUCUAAAUUGAAUUUUAAUAAUUUAUUUUAGUCUUUUUAUUCGCAGUAUAAGAAUUUAUUAAUUUAAGAAAUUAAGAAUUAUAAAUAAGUUUAAAUAUUAACAAAAUUUGUGCCAGCAGUUGCGGUUAUACAAAAAAUAUGAAUAAGUUUUAUUGAUUUGUAAUUAAAUGAUUUUUUUUUAGAUAAAUAUUAGGUUUAUAAGGUGAAAUUUUAAAUUUAAAAUAGUUAGAUAAAAGUUAUUAAUAUUAUGAAAUUUGAAGUUUAAACUAGGAUUAGAUACCCUAUUAUUUUAAAUGUAAAUUAAGAAUCAAAGUAGUAGUAGUUAAGAUCUUAAAAUUUAAAGAUUUUGGCGGUAUUUUAGUCUAUUCAGAGGAACCUGUUCUGUAAUUGAUAGUCCACAAUAAAUUAUACUUAGUUUUUAAAUUUGUAUAUCGUCGUUAUUAAAUAUUUUAGAAGAAUAUAAAUGUUUAAGAUUUUAGAUUAAGUAGCAUAUCAGAUCAAGGUGCAGUUUAUUAUUAAGAAGAAAUGGGUUACAAUAAAUUUAUUUAUUAUGGAUUUGUAAAUGAAAAUUUGCAAUGAAGGAGGAUUUGAUAGUAAUGAAAUUAAAAUUAAUUUUAUGAUUUAAGCUCUAAAAUGUGUACAUAUCGCCCGUCGCUUUUAUCUUAAGAUAAAAUAAGUCGUAACAAAGUAAAUGUACUGGAAAGUGUAUUUAGAAUGAU